Camellia sinensis is the source of this 313-nucleotide long non-coding RNA. RefSeq lists it as uncharacterized. The record is from RefSeq and is a predicted model, not a curated record. Lineage: Eukaryota; Viridiplantae; Streptophyta; Magnoliopsida; Ericales; Theaceae.
AGGUCACCCCCCAAAACUACUCUCUUCUCUCUUCUUUCUGCAAUUGUUUCUCUUCUCCUGUGUAUGAUCAGCGAUGGCACUUAUUCCAUCACUUUAGGAUUAGGACAAUGGUUAAGCAAGUAAACCAGCUUGAAAACUACCUAAUAGUUAUGAGCCAGUUUGGGAUCGUGCGCCGCUGUCUGGUGGUUGACAAAACAUGAGCUAUAGUUUCAUGAUAUGCAAUUUGUUUCUUCUGUUUAUCCUUAUCAUUCUACUAUUAACCUUAAAAUAAAAAUAAAAAAAUUGAAAAGAAAAUUCAUAUCGUGUUUUGAUA